UGCAGUCGAGCGGUAACAGAAAGUAGCUUGCUACUUUGCUGACGAGCGGCGGACGGGUGAGUAAUGCUUGGGAACAUGCCUUGAGGUGGGGGACAACAGUUGGAAACGACUGCUAAUACCGCAUAAUGUCUACGGACCAAAGGGGGCUUCGGCUCUCGCCUUUAGAUUGGCCCAAGUGGGAUUAGCUAGUUGGUGAGGUAAUGGCUCACCAAGGCAACGAUCCCUAGCUGGUUUGAGAGGAUGAUCAGCCACACUGGAACUGAGACACGGUCCAGACUCCUACGGGAGGCAGCAGUGGGGAAUAUUGCACAAUGGGGGAAACCCUGAUGCAGCCAUGCCGCGUGUGUGAAGAAGGCCUUCGGGUUGUAAAGCACUUUCAGUUGUGAGGAAAGGUUGACGUUUAAUACGCGUUAACUGUGACGUUAACAUCAGAAGAAGGACCGGCUAACUCCGUGCCAGCAGCCGCGGUAAUACGGAGGGUCCAAGCGUUAAUCGGAAUUACUGGGCGUAAAGCGCGCGUAGGCGGAUAAUUAAGUCAGAUGUGAAAUCCCUGGGCUCAACCUAGGAACUGCAUUUGAUACUGGUUAUCUAGAGUAUGGUAGAGGUGAGUGGAAUUUCAGGUGUAGCGGUGAAAUGCGUAGAGAUCUGAAGGAACAUCAGUGGCGAAGGCGACUCACUGGGCCAUUAUUGACGCUGAGGUACGAAAGCGUGGGGGAGCAAACAGGAUUAGAUACCCUGGUAGUCCACGCCGUAAACGAUGAUCACUCGUGUGGCAUACAUCGUCAGCGACUGGAGCGAAAGCAUUAAGUGAUCCACCUGGGGAGUACCGCUCGGCAAGGAUGCAGUCGAG
This 850-nucleotide ribosomal RNA is filed under the name uncultured Alteromonadales bacterium. RNAcentral describes it as "bacterial SSU rRNA". It matches the Rfam family "Bacterial small subunit ribosomal RNA", at positions 56 to 905 of the family's 1533-position model. Lineage: Bacteria; Pseudomonadati; Pseudomonadota; Gammaproteobacteria; Alteromonadales. The record is from RNAcentral.